UAUAAACCGGCUCUCUUCUAGCUUACGACACAAACUAUGAGUGAGAAAAGGACAAAUGAUUCGCUCUUUGCUUCAUUUUUUCCGAGGUUGUCACAACAUGAAAUGUCAUUUGGACCUAUUGGACUCAUUUUAACUCGGCCAAAUACAUAGUAACAUACAUAAGAAGAUUUUACUUAUAUUUACCGAACUAUUUGACACGGUCGCGUCAACUGUGUUUACGAGUGUCUUGUGUUCAGAUUGUUUUAAGUGAUAAUUUAACAAUAUUUUUCCAAAUAAAUGGAAAGAAACUUUUAUUUAUAUCAAAUAAUUGAGUGUCUCGACUGUGUGACAUUAUGUCUUGUAUGGUAUGGGGCUGCAGCUCACAUUCAGGAAGAAAAGAAAAUAGCCAACAACUUCUGUCGUUUCAUCGAUAUUAAAUCCAAAAGUGUCGACUGGAUUUACAUGAAAAGUCAGUUCAAGAAGACGAGAUGAAAAAUUUAAAAGAAAAGCUGAACAAGUCCCGCCUCAAGAUCAAACGACUUAAUGAAAAAAAAAAACAAUGUGACAGGGUGUCACAAAGACAGUUUCUAAGCAAAUUGACACUGUUUAGAAAUUAAUAAAUUUGUAUUUAUUGUAAAUAUAAUGUACAUAAUUAAUAACGUGUGAAAUAAAUACUUGCUAAUGAAAAUGAACAGAUUUACGAUCUAAUUUAUAUUUCAUUUUACCUCCUGUUCUUAUUUACUCCUACUCCAACACUCCAGGUUGAUACGAACUGCGCCCAAUAAAGAAUGUAAUGAAUGUUAUAGAUUUGUGUAAGCGACUUAGAUAAAUCUUGACUAAACCUUCCUUUACAAAUACAAAUAUACUUUAUUGCACACAACAUACAAUACUUACAAGUUUUACACGAAAGAUACAGUACACCACCUACCUACCUUUUACUUUCCCUUUCUGUUCUCUUAUGAAUACUUGUAUGCCGUAU
Molecule: long non-coding RNA, 958 nt
Organism: Pectinophora gossypiella (pink bollworm)
Lineage: Eukaryota; Metazoa; Arthropoda; Insecta; Lepidoptera; Gelechiidae
Exons: 3
Source: RefSeq, a predicted model, not a curated record